RNAcentral lists this transfer RNA (81 nucleotides) under bacterium. RNAcentral describes it as "tRNA-Leu". It matches the Rfam family "tRNA". From Rfam's summary of the family: Transfer RNA (tRNA) molecules are approximately 80 nucleotides in length. Their secondary structure includes four short double-helical elements and three loops (D, anti-codon, and T loops). The record is from RNAcentral.
GGCCAGGUGGCGGAAUGGCAGACGCGCACGACUCAAAAUCGUGUGAGGCAACUCUUGGGGGUUCAAGUCCCCCCCUGGCCA